UACGGGAGGCAGCAGUGGGGAAUUUUCCGCAAUGGGCGAAAGCCUGACGGAGCAAUACCGCGUGAGGGAGGAAGGCUCUUGGGUUGUAAACCUCUUUUCUCAGGGAAGAAGCUCUGACGGUACCUGAGGAAUCAGCAUCGGCUAACUCCGUGCCAGCAGCCGCGGUAAUACGGAGGAUGCAAGCGUUAUCCGGAAUGAUUGGGCGUAAAGCGCCCGCAGGUGGCGAUUCAAGUCUGCUGUCAAAGGUCGGGGCUCAACCCUGAACAGGCGGUGGAAACUGAACAGCUAGAGUGCGGUAGGGGUAGAGGGAAUUCCCGGUGUAGCGGUGAAAUGCGUAGAGAUCGGGAAGAACACCAGUGGCGAAAGCGCUCUACUAGGCCUGCACUGACACUCAGGGACGAAAGCUAGGGGAGCGAAUGGGAUUAGAUACCCCAGUAGUCCUAGCCNGUAAACGAUGGAUACUAGGCGUGGCUUGUAUCGACCCGAGCCGUGCCGGAGCUAACGCGUUAAGUAUCCCGCCUGGGGAGUACGCGCGCAAGCGUGAAACUCAAAAAAAUUGACGG
This 563-nucleotide ribosomal RNA is filed under the name uncultured bacterium. RNAcentral's name for it is "bacterial SSU rRNA". It matches the Rfam family "Bacterial small subunit ribosomal RNA", at positions 340 to 916 of the family's 1533-position model. The record is from RNAcentral.